This is an RNA transcript of Ostrea edulis (European flat oyster), 3181 nucleotides long. It is a transcript of the gene named bactericidal permeability-increasing protein, with no coding region annotated. The record is from RefSeq and is a predicted model, not a curated record. NCBI's taxonomy places the organism in Eukaryota, Metazoa, Mollusca, Bivalvia, Ostreida, Ostreidae. The transcript is spliced from 13 exons.
AGUUCACUUGUCAACUAUCUCGAUAAGAAGUGGGUUUUUAGCAAACACAAUUUUUAUUAUAGAGUGAGUUUUCCGCAAAUGUUGGUGUAUGUUAUAAAGUAUAUUAGUAUUGAAAUUGUUUAUUGGCUUUAAUUAAGCCUCAAGUACGGCUCAUCAUCAUAGGUAUACUUAUCAGGAUUGAAGACGGACACUCGGAGAACUGUGAAACACGCUCUGUGAAAUUUCGUGUACAGUUUAAGGAUUCUGUGAGUGAUAUCCAGUAACCAGUGGACUCCAUUCACUGAGAAAUGAUGUCUUCAUGGAAUGCUCUGAUUCUCAUUUUUGGAGUUGUAUUCUUGAUUAAUGAAACGCACAGUAAGAACCCUGGUUUAAAGUCCAGGAUUACAUCAACAGGACUCAACUAUGCUGUGAAUGUUGCAUUAGAUGUUUUGUCCAAAGACAUAACAAGUAAAAAGAUCCCAGACCAACAUGGAAAAUCAGGAAGUGUGUCUUAUGAUGUGAAAGGGAUGAGAAUAACAAAGUUCACCAAACCAACAAGUGUUGUCUCCAUGGUCCCCAACACAGGACUAUUAUGGAAAAGCUCCGGAAUCGGCAUGAGUCUUCAUGGAGACUUUCAUUAUAAAUACAAAAAAGGAAUUAUUCGAAUUUCUGAUCAUGGAAGUUUUGAUUUGAACGCCGGAGGAAUUCAAUUCCAGAUAACGCUGACUAUAGGAAUGGAUACGUCGGGAAAACCGACAAUUAGAUCAUCGUCUUGUUCGUGUGCGGUGCAAUCCACCAGCAUCAAGUUUCACGGCGGGAGAGCGUGGAUAUACAAUCUGUUUCGCGGAAAGGUCGCUAAAACUCUGAAGAACUCCAUCGAAGGUGGCAGUGGAUUGCUUUGCAAACAGUUAACAAACUUAGUAAACGUUGCAGGUGCAAAGAAAAUGGCUCAGCUUCCGGUGGAAGUGAAGUUAGCCAAGAAAUUCCUACUGAAUUACAGCUUCCUUUCUCGGCCAUCAUUUCAACAAAACUUCAUGGAAACGUAUCAUAAGGGAGAAGUGGACUGGAUUGGGGGACCAAUGAGCACACCGAUUGUCGCACCCCCACUUCCGAAAGGCACUGGUACCUCUAGAAUGCUCUACAUUUGGUUGUCUGAUUUCCUGUUCAACACGAUGUCAUACAGCGCUUUUACUCACGACCUGUUGAAACACAAUGUCAGCGACAAAAACAUUCCUGGAGGAGUUCUUAACACUACAUGCAAAGUUAAGUGCAUUGGCCGCUUGAUUCCUCAGAUUGGUCAAAAGUUUCCUAAUUCCAAAGUUCUGUUGAACCUUCGAAGCACCUCCACACCAAACAUGACUUCGGUCAAUGGAUCAGUAAGAGUUGAUGCAGCGGGCGAUAUCAAAUUUUACGCCCAAACACCUACUGGCAAAACUGAAUACUUCCUGACACUGUCUGCUAGUAUGUCCACAACAAUUUCAAUCACAGUUAAGAACGAGAAAGUGUAUGCUAAAGUGCUCAAACUUCCGUGAGUUAUUUUUAUCCUUAAUCAAUAAAAUACCUUAAUUAUUCUUAAUUAUACAUGGAUGUAUGGUUGAAAUUGGCUGUCAUACAAAGACAGGACUGGUGACUUGGUUCCGUAGGUUGUGGAGUGGAGGAGUAGGUAUUACGAAAAGGGCACACACAUUAGCGCGCGCGCGCGUAUGUGUGUAAAGAAAACUUGCAAAGACUAUUAAAGUGAGGCUGAUGUAGAGUACGGGAACCGAUCUCUGGACAAGAAACUGGUGAAGAUGAUGAACAAUGUCUAUCACCAGCCUCCGGAAGCCGGACACAAACAUAAAAGCCGUAAAGAACUUAGAAUAAUUGCACGAUCACACGAAGAAUGUGACAGAAACACCACCUUUAAGGACAUUUUGAAAGCGACGACAUUCAACAAUUCACUCUCCAGGAUUUAAGUGCCACUAUGUAUGAUGUCAUAUGCGACCUCGAGUGAUAAGGUUUGAAAACAGCUGUUAGCCAUUUUAUAAGUACAAUAUCUUCGUAGUUUUUUGGUAAUCAGGUAUUCUAACAAUCUGUUGGAAUUCCCAUGGGCACGAAUUAUGCUCUUUUAAAAGCUGACCUGUUUAUGAUAUUCUUACGAGACGGAAUUCAUUGAAAAGCUUUUACAUGAGAAGAAAAAAUCUCUUACUAUGGCCUUCAACUCGACAUUUACAUGAAAAGGUGAAGAUAACGAACAGUGAUUCAUCUAAUAACUCUUAUAAGGAAUACAAAAUUAAGAGUUGGGCAAACACGAACCCCUAGAUAUACUAGAGGUGGGAUCAGGCAUGGAGGUUAUAAAACUUUUACCGUACUCAGCCAUGGUUGUUUUGAGUACAACUCUAAGCAAGCUCCAAAGUAUACUUGAAAACUCUUGAGUAUCUACUCCAUUUCAGUGUGAGAAUGAUUUUAUAAAAGUUUUAGAUAUAACCUUCACUUUUGAGUAUGAGUACGAUUUAGAGUACGGGGUUCGAGUAUGUAAACGUGCUAACAAGUUUUGUAACCUCCAGGCCAGGUGCCUAGGAGGAGUAAGCAUCCCUUGUCGACCGUUCACACCCGCCGUGAGCCCUACAUCUUGAUCAAAUAAACGGAGUAAUCUAUAGUUAAAAUCAGUGUGCCAAGAACGGCCCAACAAUCGGUAUGAAACACGCCAGACAGCAUUUGAUUCAAUGGCAGGUUGUAUUGGCAUACUAGAUUUUAAUUUUUUUCCAUUCAAUCGACAAACAAGCCAACUAGUACGUAAACGGCUUGUGAAUAGCAUAUUCUGUUAGGGUGGGUUGCGAUAUUUUGCCGCUUACGAGUGUACUAGCUGUCAGAAGAAGGGAUCUGGACUAAGUUUUACAGUUUUUCGGAAGGUGUGAGGAAAAAGAAUUGGUUUGGUUGGCUAUAUAUUGUUUUCACAAUCAGCUGAUUGAAGAAGGUCGUAUGUGACAUCAUUGUACCUCGUGGCUUUUACCUAAUAACCAAUUGUUGUUUCAAGUGGGGCUUAGAUUUAAAUCCGUAUUGUGAUGAAUUAUGGCAAUAUUUCGUAGAACCAAACAUUAGAACUAAUUACUGUAUGCAGAAGAAAGACAAAUUGAAUAUAAUUUUGUGUAGUUUUGAAGCAUGCGGUAACUCCUUUAUAAGGUCACCUAACAUUAUAUUACCUAAUAUUACGUAAUUAUAU